Molecule: unclassified non-coding RNA, 618 nt
Filed under: Hevea brasiliensis (rubber tree)
Lineage: Eukaryota; Viridiplantae; Streptophyta; Magnoliopsida; Malpighiales; Euphorbiaceae
Source: RNAcentral
CAAAAUUUUAGUUCUUGAACAAAAUUCAUUUCAGCUCUUAACCCGGAAGGAAGGGAGAGUACGUUACAUGGGGAGUCUGAAUCAAAACAGAGAUGUCAAGAAAUGGUAGAGCUGCUCAUCUAUAAAUAAAUAAAUUAAAAAUAAAAAGUGCAAUGAAAAAGAUAAAAAGAGAAAACAAAGGGGAGAGGAGGAGAGACCAAAUUUGUUCUUUGGGGGCUUCUUCAUUUUAGAUGGAUCAGACUUGGUAUCUGAAUUUAUAUAAUCCUUUGGAAAUCUUAUUUGAAAGGAUUUCCGAGUUGAUGAGUGACGGUUGUAGGGGCAAAGUCCUCGUAAUGCACUGAUGAAAUAUAUUAUCAGUAUUUGCCAAUCUAAGGUGCUAUUUCUCUAUUGAGGACAUACGCAAUGCUGGGCUGUGGGCUCUUUAUGGCCUUUUUGUUUAACAUACAGAUAUAACUAAUUUAUAUAUGUACAAAUAAGAUCAUUAUUUGUGUUUUUCUUGUGGAUCAGAUUAAUCGGGUUGCAGAACUUAGGCAACAACUUGAGUUUAAAGAACUGGCUCCUGAAGAACUCAGAAGGAAGGUCUUCAAGACUCACCAAACUGGGACAUAUCUAAACCAA